AAGUCAACCCCGAGGAAUCUUCUCAUCUCCCAGCGCGGGUAGGGAUAAGGAAACAGAGCAAAAGCAGAGAGAAGAGCUUCCCCCAAAUCCCCAUCUUUAUCCAUACCUGAAAAUGAGCUUGUCGUCACUAACUAGUGCGUGCAGUUCCUUGAAAUCAAGCUCAUUGGGCUCGAGCGUACAGUUACAGUUCCAAUUUAAUUGCUCUAAUGGAAGAUUUGUUUCCCCUCCCAAAAGAAGGAAGUUUGCUCUCAAAAAGCUAAAUGUGUCUUGCUCUUCUUCUUCCAAUCCACUCUUGGUUAAGGCUGCUAGGGGACAUGCUGUUAGUAGGCCUCCAGCUUGGAUGAUGCGACAAGCGGGAAGGUACAUGGCUGUUUACAGAAAGCUUGCUGAGAAACACCCAUCGUUCAGAGAGAGGUCAGAGACAACAGAUCUCAUUGUAGAAAUUUCUUUGCAACCUUGGGAAGCUUUCCGUCCUGAUGGCGUUAUCAUUUUCUCUGACAUACUUACCCCUCUACCAGCAUUUGGUGUCCCAUUUGACAUAGAAGAAGUGAGAGGUCCCAUCAUUCAGUCACCUAUCCGUUCUGAAGAGGGCUUGAUGGCAUUGCAUCCCAUUGACUUGGAGAAGUUGCAAUUUGUGGGGGACUCCCUUAAAAUUUUGCGACAGGAGGUUGGGGAGCAUGCUGCAAUUCUGGGUUUUGUUGGAGCACCUUGGACAAUUGCCACUUACAUUGUAGAAGGGGGAACAACUCGUACGUACACUACCAUAAAGAGUAUGUGCCAUACUGGGCCACAUGUAUUGAGAGCUCUUCUGUCUCAUCUAACACAAGCGAUAUCUGAGUAUGUCAUUUUCCAAGUGGAGUCUGGUGCCCAUUGCAUUCAAAUAUUUGAUUCAUGGGGUGGACAACUAACUCCAGACAUGUGGGAGCAUUGGUCAAAACCUUAUAUUGAAGAGAUUGUGCGUACGGUUAGAAAUAAAUGUCCUGAAACACCAAUUGUUCUCUACAUUAAUGGAAAUGGUGGCCUUCUUGAGCGUAUGAAAGGAACCGGAGUUGAUGUGAUUGGGCUUGACUGGACGGUAGACAUGGCAGAUGGAAGGAAGCGGUUAGGGAGCGGGAUUAGUGUGCAAGGAAAUGUGGAUCCUGCUUGCUUGUUUUCACCUCUUCCUGCAUUGACUGAUGAAAUUAGAAGGGUUGUUAAGUGUGCAGGGCCACAGGGACACAUUCUAAAUCUAGGUCAUGGUGUUCUAGUUGGGACACCUGAAGAAGCUGUUGCACAUUUCUUUGAAACGGCAAGAAGCUUGAAGUAUGAAGGUAUUUUCAAGAUGUAGUGGGAAAAACUGAAUUGGUUGCAUGAGGGCGUAAUGUUUAAGUAUCAGUCAUAUCAAAUUUUUAGAAAUUGGUUGUUGGCUGCAAGCUAACUUGAAGCUCAAGUGUUUUUACAGAUCUUGAUUCUUGCUAGUUGGAAUGUUGAAGAUAACAUUCAGGAAAAUUCCCAUGCAGUGAAGGGAAGGACUGAGGGAUUCUGUGAUACCUUCUUCUGACUAUGACUCAUCUCCCUCCUGGUGUAAGUACUUGGUUGUAGGGUUUGCUGGUGAUUUCUUGGCAUAAGGUACUGUUAGAAACAAACAUUGAUUCAGAACAGAAGAGGUUGAUGGGGAAAAUGUUGUCUCUCUUGUGGUUUGAAAAUCUAGGUUGCAAUUUAUGUUCUUUGUUUAAUUUAUUUUAAUAAUCAGGAGCUAGAUUCAGUGGUAGAAAAAAAAAAAGCAGAUUGGUUGAGAAGGAGCAAGAAAAUAUCCUCUCGCGAGAUGUGUUACUGAAAAAUGGUGGAAAAUUAGAUGUUUCAUGGACCAUAUUUCCAUUAUCAGUAUAGAUUGUUAAUCUUGUUAUUUACCCAAAAAUAUGUUCUACUUAGCUUAUGGGUACAAUGCGCAUAGUCAUUACUACAAAAUUAGUGAUUUGUGAACUACCCCAAAACACUGCUAUAGUCAAAUUUCUGCUGUGUGUUUUUGUAUCCUUACCAAAUGCAUUCUAAAUCUUAGUUCACGUGUU
Molecule: RNA transcript, 2048 nt
Organism: Carica papaya (papaya)
Lineage: Eukaryota; Viridiplantae; Streptophyta; Magnoliopsida; Brassicales; Caricaceae
Gene: HEME1
Gene name: Uroporphyrinogen decarboxylase
Source: RefSeq, a predicted model, not a curated record